This 683-nucleotide ribosomal RNA is filed under the name Salmonella enterica subsp. enterica serovar Typhimurium. RNAcentral describes it as "partial 23S ribosomal RNA". It matches the Rfam family "Bacterial large subunit ribosomal RNA", at positions 566 to 1190 of the family's 2925-position model. The record is from RNAcentral. Lineage: Bacteria; Pseudomonadati; Pseudomonadota; Gammaproteobacteria; Enterobacterales; Enterobacteriaceae.
CACAUCCGCAUCCUUUGCUGAGGAUACGGUUAACGGAGCGAAAGCGACGUUCAACCGCAAAACAAGCAGAGGGGGCUUAGUGGUGGGGUGACUGCGUACCUUUUGUAUAAUGGGUCAGCGACUUAUAUUCUGUAGCAAGGUUAACCGAAUAGGGGAGCCGGAGGGAAACCGAGUCUUAAUUGGGCGUUAAGUUGCAGGGUAUAGACCCGAAACCCGGUGAUCUAGCCAUGGGCAGGUUGAAGGUUGGGUAACACUAACUGGAGGACCGAACCGACUAAUGUUGAAAAAUUAGCGGAUGACCUGUGGCUGGGGGUGAAAGGCCAAUCAAACCGGGAGAUAGCUGGUUCUCCCCGAAAGCUAUUUAGGUAGCGCCUCGUGAAUUCAUCUCCGGGGGUAGAGCACUGUUUCGGCUAGGGGGCCAUCCCGGCUUACCAACCCGAUGCAAACUGCGAAUACCGGAGAAUGUUAUCACGGGAGACACACGGCGGGUGCUAACGUCCGUCGUGAAGAGGGAAACAACCCAGACCGCCAGCUAAGGUCCCAAAGUCAUGGUUAAGUGGGAAACGAUGUGGGAAGGCCCAGACAGCCAGGAUGUUGGCUUAGAAGCAGCCAUCAUUUAAAGAAAGCGUAAUAGCUCACUGGUCGAGUCGGCCUGCGCGGAAGAUGUAACGGGGCUAAACCAU